GCAAGAUAUUUGUAAUAAUAUGAUAUUGCGCGUUAGGAAUAAAACCGGACAAAGUGUUCGGUGUACAGCGCCAUGCAGCGGUUGAAUUUUCUCGAAUGUUCGAUGCCCGGGACACGUCAGCUAUAUAAACCCGAUGGGUUCCACCGACCAGGCGCAUUCGUUAACAGACCUUCGUUCAGUUAGGAUACUGAAUACUUCAGGAAACCUUCCCAAACCUCCCUCCGGACCUCACCCAUCGAGGGACGAGUAGGGAACCUUCACCGGCUAAUCAACCUUUUCGCUUUUUAUUUUUUUUUUUCGUGAUCGUCCAAGGGCCUACGGGACAACACCAAUCGUUACAAUGUAGACGAGCCGGGCAUCGCUGCGGAGCGCGACAGUAAACCUGAACCCUACGGGGUCUCGGUGCUUGAACAAUCCGUACGCAACGAAAACUGGUCCGAUUAAGCUAUGAAAUACUCAAAUUUCAUGAAGAAUAAUACCUCCGAAUAAUAAUAGCUGUGUCGGUAAAAUUAGAGAUCCGCGUGGGCAUCACAUACAACACCAUCAGUAAGAGUGUAACUUCACAAUAGCCUAGCAGGAAAGAGCAGAAAGAAAAGAGAAGCCCACGGGAGAGACACGGUUGGAAAAACGCGGGGGUGUUGGAUUUACAAUAAAAAAAAAAACAAAACAAAACAAUAAAUAUAC
Molecule: long non-coding RNA, 684 nt
Organism: Polistes dominula (European paper wasp)
Lineage: Eukaryota; Metazoa; Arthropoda; Insecta; Hymenoptera; Vespidae
Source: RefSeq, a predicted model, not a curated record